GACGAACGCUGGCGGCGUGCUUAACACAUGCAAGUCGAACGGAAAGGCCCUGCUUUUGUGGGGUGCUCGAGUGGCGAACGGGUGAGUAACACGUGAGUAACCUGCCCUUGACUUUGGGAUAACUUCAGGAAACUGGGGCUAAUACCGGAUAGGAGCUCCUGCCGCAUGGUGGGGGUUGGAAAGUUUCGGCGGUUGGGGAUGGACUCGCGGCUUAUCAGCUUGUUGGUGGGGUAGUGGCUUACCAAGGCUUUGACGGGUAGCCGGCCUGAGAGGGUGACCGGCCACAUUGGGACUGAGAUACGGCCCAGACUCCUACGGGAGGCAGCAGUGGGGAAUAUUGCACAAUGGGCGGAAGCCUGAUGCAGCAACGCCGCGUGCGGGAUGACGGCCUUCGGGUUGUACACCGCUUUCGCCUGUGACGAAGCGUGAGUGACGGUAAUGGGUAAAGAAGCACCGGCUAACUACGUG
This 468-nucleotide ribosomal RNA is filed under the name uncultured bacterium. Its description in RNAcentral is "partial 16S ribosomal RNA". It matches the Rfam family "Bacterial small subunit ribosomal RNA", at positions 28 to 507 of the family's 1533-position model. The record is from RNAcentral.